Molecule: long non-coding RNA, 228 nt
Filed under: Mytilus galloprovincialis (Mediterranean mussel)
Lineage: Eukaryota; Metazoa; Mollusca; Bivalvia; Mytilida; Mytilidae
Source: RNAcentral
GUCUGAUAGCUGUAUAAUUAUGGCUAUUUAAUUUAGUAUUAAAAAUGUUAAAGGAGUAAAGACCUUUCAACACUCUACAAGGCAGAGAAUACAUGCAAACGCCAGAUUUUCUUUUCCAAUUUCAAUUUCAGACCUCAACUCGCAUGGAAUUUACAUUAAGCAAUACUGACAGGCCAAAAAUAAAAUUAAAAUUGUUUGAUGUUGCCAUACCUCAACCCACCUGAAAAG